AGAUGGAAUCAUACCAGCACUAGCACACCGGAUUCCAUCGGAACUCCGAAGUUAAACAUGCUUGAGCGUGAGUAGUACUAGGAUGGGUGAACCCUUGGGAAGUCCUCGUGUUGCAUCCC
RNAcentral lists this ribosomal RNA (119 nucleotides) under Nicotiana sylvestris (wood tobacco). Lineage: Eukaryota; Viridiplantae; Streptophyta; Magnoliopsida; Solanales; Solanaceae. The record is from RNAcentral.